This is a long non-coding RNA of Lucilia cuprina (Australian sheep blowfly), 693 nucleotides long. RefSeq lists it as uncharacterized. The record is from RefSeq and is a predicted model, not a curated record. NCBI's taxonomy places the organism in Eukaryota, Metazoa, Arthropoda, Insecta, Diptera, Calliphoridae. The transcript has 5 exons.
CAACAUAUACAAAUAAAACAUACAUAUUUUAUAAAAAAAAACGAAUGAAAUGUAAAUCUUAACAAAUCUUGAGUCUACUAUGCAGUACUUCAAAAACAUUGGAAUUUAAACAUUUUAAAGCGAAUCAUUUAUAUUUUGUAUACUUUAUUACGUAUAUGCUAGUGGCAUUGGUUUAUUUCUAUUUAAUAGGCCGACGAACGCUAAAUAAAUUGUAACAAGGUUUUUAAUUGUUUCGUAAAUAUGGAGAAUUGUGGAGAGGACUUCGGAAUAUAUAUGCUUGUAGUGGCGCCCGAAAUGAAAAUAUAUGCAGUCGGUUCGAUUUUUUUACAACUAUAAAGAUUCACAACCAAAGUUUCAAAUACACGUCGAAAAAUUCUAGAUUUUAUGAACUCGGAAGCUAACUAGAUUUAAGAUGGCUUGAUGAAAGACAUUCAAAUGUAUCUAAAUACGUCACUUUCGGAGACAGAAAGUUUAGAAUAGUGGAAUGAGCAUCAAAAGAAUAUCGGCAAAUGGCUGGAACCUGCAUAGUCGGAAAAAGAUCGAGACUUAAUCCGUCAACAGUGAAGAAACAAUUGUUUGUUCAUGACAAUUUCAAAUUGGUAUCAUCUUUGACGAAAAACUAGAUUUUGAAAUAAAAAAUUUCACUUAAUAUUAAAGUGAAAAUUGAUUAAUUUUAUAGUAACAUUAAUUUGA